RNAcentral lists this ribosomal RNA (724 nucleotides) under Pseudomonas sp. Wr1A10. Its description in RNAcentral is "bacterial SSU rRNA". It matches the Rfam family "Bacterial small subunit ribosomal RNA", at positions 41 to 763 of the family's 1533-position model. The record is from RNAcentral. Lineage: Bacteria; Pseudomonadati; Pseudomonadota; Gammaproteobacteria; Pseudomonadales; Pseudomonadaceae.
GGCAGCCUACACAUGCAAGUCGAGCGGUAGAGAGAAGCUUGGUGCUCUUGAGAGCGGCGGACGGGUGAGUAAUGCCUAGGAAUCUGCCUGGUAGUGGGGGAUAACGUUCGGAAACGGACGCUAAUACCGCAUACGUCCUACGGGAGAAAGCAGGGGACCUUCGGGCCUUGCGCUAUCAGAUGAGCCUAGGUCGGAUUAGCUAGUUGGUGAGGUAAUGGCUCACCAAGGCGACGAUCCGUAACUGGUCUGAGAGGAUGAUCAGUCACACUGGAACUGAGACACGGUCCAGACUCCUACGGGAGGCAGCAGUGGGGAAUAUUGGACAAUGGGCGAAAGCCUGAUCCAGCCAUGCCGCGUGUGUGAAGAAGGUCUUCGGAUUGUAAAGCACUUUAAGUUGGGAGGAAGGGUUGUAGAUUAAUACUCUGCAAUUUUGACGUUACCGACAGAAUAAGCACCGGCUAACUCUGUGCCAGCAGCCGCGGUAAUACAGAGGGUGCAAGCGUUAAUCGGAAUUACUGGGCGUAAAGCGCGCGUAGGUGGUUUGUUAAGUUGGAUGUGAAAUCCCCGGGCUCAACCUGGGAACUGCAUUCAAAACUGACUGACUAGAGUAUGGUAGAGGGUGGUGGAAUUUCCUGUGUAGCGGUGAAAUGCGUAGAUAUAGGAAGGAACACCAGUGGCGAAGGCGACCACCUGGACUAAUACUGACACUGAGGUGCGAAGCGUG